GACAGAGGCCUCGAGCGUUAGGCGGAAUCACUGGGCUUAAAGCGUGUGUAGGCGGCCCGAUAAGUCCGCUGUGAAAGUCCAGGGCUCAACCCUGGGAUGCCGGUGGAUACUGUCGGGCUCGAGUCCGGAAGAGGCGAGUGGAAUUCCUGGUGUAGCGGUGAAAUGCGCAGAUAUCAGGAGGAACACCAAUGGCGAAGGCAGCUCGCUGGGACGUGACUGACGCUGAGACGCGAAAGCGUGGGGAGCAAACAGG
This 253-nucleotide ribosomal RNA is filed under the name uncultured bacterium. Its description in RNAcentral is "partial 16S ribosomal RNA". It matches the Rfam family "Bacterial small subunit ribosomal RNA", at positions 524 to 776 of the family's 1533-position model. The record is from RNAcentral.